This is a long non-coding RNA of Gasterosteus aculeatus aculeatus (three-spined stickleback), 2032 nucleotides long. The record is from Ensembl. NCBI's taxonomy places the organism in Eukaryota, Metazoa, Chordata, Actinopteri, Perciformes, Gasterosteidae.
UAUUUAUAUGUAUUAUAUUAGUUUAUUAUUAUUUAUAACAGAAGAGAUCUGCGUCAUAACAAGCAGCUCCCAGCUGGAAGUGUUUGUAACUGUGGGAAUGAGGGAAAAAGUAGGUUUGAGAGGCAAAAAAUCACAUUUAACCAAAUCUUUCCUUCAUGCGCCAUCAAGCACAGAUACUUCAGUGACACCAGCCGUUUUUCUGCAGAAGCCCAAUAGAUCAUCUCUCCCACAGUGGAAACAUGUUAUUGAGUCAGACUGUGCUUCAGCAAACACGUUCUCACUCACCGGCCAUCUGAUAUGAUUGACAUUUACAACUCUGAAUGUCACAAAUAUGCUACAACACUGUCACUGUGUCUAAUAUCACUAUGUUUCUCUGUGUAAUAUGGUUUUAAUCUGUGUAGCAUGAGUUACAAUCUAUACAUACCAUUGUAUGUUGUAAAUAUACUUAUUUUCCGAUGAGACCUACAGUUUGUAGAUCCGCAAACAAUUUGCCAAACUUGUAUUAAGCAGUGUACUAUACGCAUUUAUGCAGAAAUGUAGUUACAGUGAGUAUAAAAAUAUGUGAUCCGAGAAAUGCACGACAUGUCUGUAUACACACACACAAUGUCUCCAUAGCAGCCACAGCACUAAACACCUGUUCUCACUCACACACACACACCCGUAUCCACUUGCUUAAGCCAAUAAACACAUUGAGUGAAUCGUUGUACUGUAUUUUAUUUAUUAAAAACCUUAACAGCUACAUCUUUUUAUGACCAUUGUUGUGUGAACGUGUGCAGCAUGGGAGAAAUGAACGGUUGCUACUUUCUCAUUUAUGCAGCACUGAUACCUGCACCAGUCAAUAAUAAGGGCCUAACAAUUGAAAACGCACAAAACUCUCUGAGCAUCUUCCCAACAGCCGAUUUGGACAAUUUUACGAAUUUUACACACUUUUCAUUCUGCAUCAAUGCAUGCUGUGCAAUGAUGUGCUUUUCUUUCAUCUGACUUGCUUUAGAGCACAGACGCUCUAUAUGGAGAUUGAAGCUCUUGCAUGCUGUCAGAACCCUCAUCAUUCCGGAACAAAAGACAUAAAAAGCCAGCUCUUUGGUAUAGUUCUAAUGAUUUAUUGUCCAGCUGCCUUAAAUAUGUUCAAACUUGGCAGAGACUUCUGCAGAGGAUUAGCAGCAGCCGCAGCUAACAGGCAAUUGAUUAUUUAUAUACUGCUGAGGGGGGGCAAACAACCCCCCUUUUGACGGUCAGCAGUGUGAGCUGCGAAAUGGGACAAUUUAUGUGCUUGUUUACACAACUCUUACAAUGUUGUCAUGGUAAAUUAAUUCAAAUUCUAUUAAAAUCACAACCCGGCUCAUGGGGUUAAGUGUUGCUAAAAUGCUAUUGACAAUACACUUAUUCAUGAUGUUUCCAAGAGUUGGAUGAAUCUCUUGGUUUUUCUGUCUCGGCUCUGUUAUAAAUAUUGAGCUGGAGACCGAAGACGUUUGGCUUAGCUUGACACAAAGACUGGAAGCGCGGCGAAGCGGCUGGCCGGGUUCUGAAUAAAGAUAACAAAAUCCAGCUCCAAACACGAAUUAGCUCAUUAGUAAAUGUGUCAUACCUACAGAAACUGAAGUACAAAAGCAACACUUGACCGACUAGUCCUAGUGAACAUCUCCAACAUAAGAAUAACAGAAUGCUUGAUCAUCAAACCAAGCAGAACGACGCACCGAUAGUCUAUUGUUCUUGUAGCAGCGUUUGCACAGGCUUGAGUGCUCCUGCUCUUCUUCAUGGAAUUCUACAGAAACAGGGGCAACCAAUCACCCACUGACUGACUGACUUUAUCUCCAGCUCAAACAUUCACUUGAUUGAUUUCCUAAAGUGAUCCCAUUUGUCAGUCUUGGACAAGCUGUCCAACCACAAAUCGAGUCAACAGACUAAGUUAAGUUGGGUCCCUUGGGGCUCAGGGGUGGACCAGUUUUUCUUAAAUUGGCCACCAGUGUUUGAGCAUGGACAGCUAUGUGACUGGUCAAGAGCUGCUGUGUCAACUGGUCCCCCCCCCCCCCCC